GAACGCUGGCGGCGUGCCUAACACAUGCAAGUCGAACGGGCUUAGGAUCCAAAGCUCCGGCAGAGGAAUCUAAGCUAGUGGCGGACGGGUGAGUAACGCGUGGAGAACCUGCCCUGUACUGGGGGAUAACAGUGAGAAAUCACUGCUAAUACCGCAUAAGCGCGAGGUGCCGCAUGGUGCCCCGUGGAAAACUCCGGUGGUACAGGAUGGCUCCGCGUUGGAUUAGCCAGUUGGCGGGGUAACGGCCCACCAAAGCGACGAUCCAUAGCCGGCCUGAGAGGGUGAACGGCCACAUUGGGACUGAGACACGGCCCAGACUCCUACGGGAGGCAGCAGUGGGGAAUAUUGCACAAUGGGGGGAACCCUGAUGCAAGCGACGCCGCGUGAAGGAUGAAGUAUCUCGGUAUGUAAACUUCUAUCAGCAGGGAAGAUGAUGACGGUACCUGACUAAGAAGCCCCGGCUAACUACGUGCCAGCCGCCGC
This 483-nucleotide ribosomal RNA is filed under the name uncultured bacterium. Its description in RNAcentral is "bacterial SSU rRNA". It matches the Rfam family "Bacterial small subunit ribosomal RNA", at positions 31 to 518 of the family's 1533-position model. The record is from RNAcentral.